ACGCUCGACACCUACGGGAGGUAGCAGUGGGGAAUAUUGCACAAUGGGGGAAACCCUGAUGCAGCAACGCCGCGUGAAGGAAGAAGUAUUUCGGUAUGUAAACUUCUAUCAGCAGGGAAGAAAAAGAUGACGGUACCUGACUAAGAAGAACCGGCUAAAUACGUGCCAACAGCCGCGGUAAUCUGAGCGGGCUGGCAAGGC
RNAcentral lists this ribosomal RNA (201 nucleotides) under uncultured bacterium. RNAcentral's name for it is "partial 16S ribosomal RNA". It matches the Rfam family "Bacterial small subunit ribosomal RNA", at positions 328 to 539 of the family's 1533-position model. The record is from RNAcentral.